RNAcentral lists this ribosomal RNA (469 nucleotides) under uncultured bacterium. RNAcentral describes it as "partial 16S ribosomal RNA". It matches the Rfam family "Bacterial small subunit ribosomal RNA", at positions 28 to 508 of the family's 1533-position model. The record is from RNAcentral.
GACGAACGCUGGCGGCGUGCUUAACACAUGCAAGUCGAACGGAAAGGCCCUGCUUUUGUGGGGUGCUCGAGUGGCGAACGGGUGAGUAACACGUGAGUAACCUGCCCUUGACUUUGGGAUAACUUCAGGAAACUGGGGCUAAUACCGGAUAGGAGCUCCUGCUGCAUGGUGGGGGUUGGAAAGUUUCGGCGGUUGGGGAUGGACUCGCGGCUUAUCAGCUUGUUGGUGGGGUAGUGGCUUACCAAGGCUUUGACGGGUAGCCGGCCUGAGAGGGUGACCGGCCAAAUUGGGACUGGGAUACGGCCCAGACUCCUACGGGGGGCAGCAGGGGGGAAUAUUGCACAAUGGGCGGGAGCCUGAUGCAGCAACGCCGCGGGCGGGAUGACGGCCUUCGGGUUGUAAACCGCUUUCGCCUGGGACGAAGCGUGAGUGACGGUAAUGGGUAAAGAAGCACCGGCUAACUACGUGC